AGCAGCCGCGGUAAUUCCAGCUCCAAUAGCGUAUAUUAAAGUUGUUGCAGUUAAAAAGCUCGUAGUUGAAUUUCGGGAUCAAGUCGUCGGUCGUGCUCAGGUACGUACUGGCGUCAUUGAUUUCUCCCUUCUGACGAACCAUGAUGUCAUUAAUUUGGUGUUAUGGGAAAUCAGGACUGUUACUUUGAAAAAUUAGAGUGUUUAAAGCAGGCUCACGCUUGAAUACAUUAGCAUGGAAUAAUGAAAUAGGACGUUCGAUCCUAUUUUGUUGGUUUUAGGAUCAACGUAAUGAUUAAUAGGGAUAGUUGGGGGCAUUAGUAUUCAAUUGUCAGAGGUGAAAUUCUUGGAUUUAUUGAAGACUAACUACUGCGAAAGCAUUUGCCAAGGAUGUUUUCAUUAAUCAAGAACGAAAGUUAGGGGAUCGAAGACGAUCAGAUACCGUCGUAGUCUUAACCAUAAACUAUGCCGACUAGGGAUCGGAUGAUGUAAUUUUUAAUGUA
RNAcentral lists this ribosomal RNA (500 nucleotides) under uncultured Glomus. Its description in RNAcentral is "SSU rRNA". It matches the Rfam family "Eukaryotic small subunit ribosomal RNA", at positions 569 to 1076 of the family's 1831-position model. Lineage: Eukaryota; Fungi; Glomeromycota; Glomeromycetes; Glomerales; Glomeraceae. The record is from RNAcentral.